UACGGAGGGUGCAAGCGUUAAUCGGAAUUACUGGGCGUAAAGGGUGCGUAGGUUGUUAGUUAAGUUAUCUGUAAAGUCCCCGGGCUUAACCUGGGUAGGCCAGAUAAGACUGAUUGACUCGAGUAUGGGAGAGGGUAGUGGAAUUUCCGGUGUAGCGGUGAAAUGCGUAGAGAUCGGAAGGAACACCAGUGGCGAAGGCGGCUACCUGGCCUAAUACUGACACUGAGGCACGAAAGCGUGGGGAGCAAACAGG
RNAcentral lists this ribosomal RNA (253 nucleotides) under uncultured bacterium. Its description in RNAcentral is "partial 16S ribosomal RNA". It matches the Rfam family "Bacterial small subunit ribosomal RNA", at positions 524 to 776 of the family's 1533-position model. The record is from RNAcentral.